GAUGAACGCUAGCUACAGGCUUAACACAUGCAAGUCGAGGGGUAACGAGAGGAAAGCUUGCUUUCCUUGUCGACGACCGGCGCACGGGUGAGUAACGCGUAUCCAACCUGCCCCCAACUAGGGAAUAACCUUGCGAAAGUAAGACUAAUACCCUAUAAUUUCCUCAGAUGACAUCUGACGAGGAAUAAAGAUUUAUUGGUUGUGGAUGGGGAUGCGUCUGAUUAGCUUGUUGGCGGGGUAACGGCCCACCAAGGCAACGAUCAGUAGGGGUUCUGAGACGAAGGUCCCCCAAAUUGGAACUGAGACAGGGUCCAAACUCCUACGGGAGGCAGCAGUGAGGAAUAUUGGUCAAUGGGCGGAAGCCUGAACCAGCCAAGUAGCGUGCAGGAUGACGGCCCUAUGGGUUGUAAACUGCUUUUAUACAGGAAUAAAGUUAGCCACGUGUGGUUAUUUGUAGGUACUGUAUGAAUAAGGACCGGCUAAUUCCGUGCCAGCAGCCGCCGUAA
RNAcentral lists this ribosomal RNA (506 nucleotides) under uncultured bacterium. RNAcentral describes it as "partial 16S ribosomal RNA". It matches the Rfam family "Bacterial small subunit ribosomal RNA", at positions 28 to 523 of the family's 1533-position model. The record is from RNAcentral.